This 119-nucleotide ribosomal RNA is filed under the name Hordeum vulgare subsp. vulgare (domesticated barley). Lineage: Eukaryota; Viridiplantae; Streptophyta; Magnoliopsida; Poales; Poaceae. The record is from RNAcentral.
AUGCGAUCAUACCAGCACUAAAGCACCGGAUCCCAUCAGAACUCCGAAGUUAAGCGUGCUUGGGCGAGAGUAGUACUAGGAUGGGUGACCUCCUGGGAAGUCCUCGUGUUGCAUUCCCC